CCCAGGCGCACCCAGAAACCCUUUGUGAACUUAUACCUUACUGUUGCCUCGGCGCUAGCUGGUCCUCCGGGGCCCCUCACCCCCGGGUGUUGAGACGGCACGCCGGCGGCCAACCCAACUCUUGUUUUUACACUGAAACUCUGAGCACAAAACAUAAAUGAAUCAAAACUUUCAACAACGGAUCUCUUGGUUCUGGCAUCGAUGAAGAACGCAGCGAAAUGCGAUAAGUAAUGUGAAUUGCAGAAUUCAGUGAAUCAUCGAAUCUUUGAACGCACAUUGCGCCCUCUGGUAUUCCGGAGGGCAUGCCUGUUCGAGCGUCAUUUCAACCCUCAAGCCUGGCUUGGUGAUGGGGCACUGCCUGUAAAAGGGCAGGCCCUGAAAUUCAGUGGCGAGCUCGCCAGGACCCCGAGCGCAGUAGUUAAACCCUCGCUUUGGAAGGCCCUGGCGGUGCCCUGCCGUUAAACCCCCAACUUCUGAAAAUUUGACCUCGGAUCAGGUAGGAAUACCCGCUGAACUUAAGCAUAUCA
RNAcentral lists this ribosomal RNA (527 nucleotides) under Phomopsis sp. NJWP10. RNAcentral's name for it is "eukaryotic LSU rRNA". The stretch from base 167 to 320 matches the Rfam family "5.8S ribosomal RNA". The record is from RNAcentral. Lineage: Eukaryota; Fungi; Ascomycota; Sordariomycetes; Diaporthales; Diaporthaceae.